Long non-coding RNA from Oncorhynchus gorbuscha (pink salmon), 270 nucleotides. RefSeq lists it as uncharacterized. Lineage: Eukaryota; Metazoa; Chordata; Actinopteri; Salmoniformes; Salmonidae. The transcript has 3 exons. The record is from RefSeq and is a predicted model, not a curated record.
CUCGCCUGGCCCCAAUCACCAACCUGAGUGAGAACGGCAGGAAGCUGCUCCAGAAAAUGUCAGGAGUGACGCCACAGGAAAGGAAGGUCAAAAGGAAAAAGACCAAGGGAAAAAAGCAAGUGAAGAAAGAGAAGGCCAGUAAGAUGCAGCAGGUGGAAAAUGUUGGAGAACGUAAGGAGGACAAGAAAGAGGAAAAGAAGAGUCUGAGGAAGAGGUUUCUCCAGUGGCUGCUGCCCAAACUGAGAUGUUCGAAAAAAUAAUGGCCAACUA